CCUACGGGGAGCAGCAGUGGGGAAUAUUGGGCAAUGGGCGAAAGCCUGACCCAGCAACGCCGCGUGAAGGAAGAAGGCUUUCGGGUUGUAAACUUCUUUUGACAGGGAAGAGCAGAAGACGGUACCUGUCGAAUAAGCCACGGCUAACUACGUGCCAGCAGCCGCGGUAAUACGUAGGUGGCAAGCGUUGUCCGGAUUUACUGGGUGGAAAGGGCGUGUAGCCGGGCUGACAAGUCAGAUGUGAAAUCCGGGGGCUCAACCCCCGAACUGCAUUUGAAACUGUUGGUCUUGAGUAUCGGAGAGGCAGGCGGAAUUCCUAGUGUAGCGGUGAAAUGCGUAGAGAUCAAGAGGAAUACUCAUUGCGAAGGCGACCUGCUAGAACAUAACUGACGCUGAUGCGCGAAAGCGUGGGGAGCAAACAGGAUUAGAUACCCGUGUAGUC
RNAcentral lists this ribosomal RNA (442 nucleotides) under uncultured bacterium. RNAcentral describes it as "partial 16S ribosomal RNA". It matches the Rfam family "Bacterial small subunit ribosomal RNA", at positions 338 to 795 of the family's 1533-position model. The record is from RNAcentral.